Molecule: small nucleolar RNA, 141 nt
Filed under: Myotis lucifugus (little brown bat)
Lineage: Eukaryota; Metazoa; Chordata; Mammalia; Chiroptera; Vespertilionidae
Description: Small nucleolar RNA SNORA48
Rfam family: Small nucleolar RNA SNORA48
About the family: The snoRNA ACA 48 has been identified to guide pseudouridylation of the residue U3797 in the 28S rRNA subunit. Its host gene EIF4A1 (eukaryotic translation initiation factor 4A1) is shared with U67 and snoRNA mgU6-77
Source: Rfam by way of RNAcentral
GGUUACUAAUGGGCAAGGAGAUAUCUGAUUGGUGGUGUUGCUCUUAUAUCAAUCAGGGGCAAAGCAGAUGUACAGUCCUUAGUUCAUCCUAGCUUGAUCCCUGUGUCAUGACCAGAGCUGUUUCAUGCCUGAGGCACAUAA